This is a regulatory RNA element of Zunongwangia atlantica 22II14-10F7, 97 nucleotides long. It matches the Rfam family "TPP riboswitch aptamer (THI element)". Rfam says of the family: Vitamin B(1) in its active form thiamin pyrophosphate (TPP) is an essential coenzyme that is synthesised by coupling of pyrimidine and thiazole moieties in bacteria. The previously detected thiamin-regulatory element, thi box was extended, resulting in a new, highly conserved RNA secondary structure, the THI element, which is widely distributed in eubacteria and also occurs in some archaea. Analysis of operon structures identified a large number of new candidate thiamin-regulated genes, mostly transporters, in various prokaryotic organisms. The record is from Rfam. Lineage: Bacteria; Pseudomonadati; Bacteroidota; Flavobacteriia; Flavobacteriales; Flavobacteriaceae.
UGUAAACUUUAGGGGUGCCAAUUAAAUUUGGCUGAGAUAACACCCUUUGAACCUGAUCCAGAUUAGCAUCUGCGAAGGAAAAAGUACGAAAACUUUG